AUGGUGCAAAGGGAGAAAAAGGUGACAGUGGUGAGAAGGGGGACCAAGGUGACACCGGACCUGCUGGUCUCCCGGGUGCUCCAGGGCUCAUUGGUUUACCUGGUACCAAAGGAGAAAAGGGAAAGCCAGGGGAGCCAGGAUUGGAUGGUUUCCCUGGUCUCAGAGGAGAGAAAGGAGAGAGGAGUGAAAGAGGCGAGAAGGGUGAACGAGGAAUACCAGGGAGAAAAGGGGCCAAAGGACAGAAGGGGGAGCCAGGCCCUCCUGGACUGGAUCAGCCUUGUCCUGUGGGACCAGACGGACUGCCAGUAGCAGGAUGUUGGCAUAAG
This 326-nucleotide long non-coding RNA is filed under the name Cyanistes caeruleus (blue tit). RNAcentral's name for it is "lncRNA (ENSCCEG00000010812.1)". Lineage: Eukaryota; Metazoa; Chordata; Aves; Passeriformes; Paridae. The record is from RNAcentral.